This 699-nucleotide unclassified non-coding RNA is filed under the name Hevea brasiliensis (rubber tree). Lineage: Eukaryota; Viridiplantae; Streptophyta; Magnoliopsida; Malpighiales; Euphorbiaceae. The record is from RNAcentral.
CUGCUGUUUCCAAAGAUCAGGUUUUGGAGUACAUGAAGUGGGCUAAACCUAUUAUAGUAAAGCUUCUCGAGGUGUUGCUGGAGAAACUAAACGUUAAGCAGAUUGAUGAGCCGAUGAAGUCUGUUGUAAUGGGCACGUUGAUCGUUAACCUCAUUCACUACCCAGUGUGCCCAAACCCCGAGCUCACUGCUGGUGCUGGCCGUCAUGCUGAUGUUUCUUCGAUCACUAUGCUACUACAAGACGAUGUUGGUGGCCUUUACGUGCGAGAGCCCAAAGGUGAUGGCUGGAUUCAUGUGCCCCCAGUUAAAGGGGCACUCGUGAUCAAUAUCGGAGAUGUCCUUCAGAUCAUGAGCAACGAUAGGUACAAGAGUGUGGAGCAUCGAGUAAUCGUGAAUGCCAGUAGAAACAGAGUGUCAGUGCCCAUAUUUGUGAAUCCAGCACCUGAUGCAGUUUUUGGUCCUUUGACACAAGUGCUAGAAAAUGGAGAGAAACCAUUGUAUAAGCAUGUUGUUUAUUCAGAUUAUUUCAAUUAUUUCUUCAGUAAAGGCCAUGAGGGUAAGCAAACAAUUGAAUUUGCAAAACUAUGACAAGUUUGCUGAUUCAACACUCAUUUCAUCUAUGUACAUGGAAUAUGGAACCUUUCGUAUCAAAGUAGUAACAAGCCGAGUAUUACAACUCUGGGGGAGAAACAAAGCUAAG